RNAcentral lists this microRNA (24 nucleotides) under Glycine max (soybean). Its description in RNAcentral is "gma-miR4349-3p". The record is from miRBase by way of RNAcentral. Lineage: Eukaryota; Viridiplantae; Streptophyta; Magnoliopsida; Fabales; Fabaceae.
UCACUUAUAUACUCUUUCUUGGCC